UUGCCCAAUGAUUAUAGCAAGACGCGUUAUUACGAGGACUAAUGCUGGAACUCUCUUCUCCUCCUCCUCCUCCUCCUCCUCUUCUUCCUUCUCUUUUGUCCCUUCGUCUUUCACCUUACCCUUCACUUUUUCUUAGGGUAUCCAGCGUCCUAUGAGCAAGACUGAGAUAUGAGGGCAA
This 178-nucleotide small nucleolar RNA is filed under the name Tauraco erythrolophus (red-crested turaco). RNAcentral's name for it is "Small nucleolar RNA SNORD97". It matches the Rfam family "Small nucleolar RNA SNORD97". The record is from Rfam by way of RNAcentral. Lineage: Eukaryota; Metazoa; Chordata; Aves; Musophagiformes; Musophagidae.